This 301-nucleotide ribosomal RNA is filed under the name uncultured bacterium. Its description in RNAcentral is "partial 16S ribosomal RNA". It matches the Rfam family "Bacterial small subunit ribosomal RNA", at positions 509 to 807 of the family's 1533-position model. The record is from RNAcentral.
CAGCAGCCGCGGUAAUACGUAGGGUGCGAGCGUUAAUCGGAAUUACUGGGCGUAAAGCGUGCGCAGGCGGUUGUGUAAGACAGGUGUGAAAUCCCCGGGCUUAACCUGGGAACUGCGCUUGUGACUGCACAGCUAGAGUAUGGCAGAAGGGGGUGGGAUUCCACGUGUAGCAGUGAAAUGCGUAGAGAUGUGGAGGAACACCGAUGGCGAAGGCAGCCCCCUGGGCCAAUACUGACGCUCAUGCACGAAAGCGUGGGGAGCAAACAGGAUUAGAUACCCGAGUAGUCCCUGUCUCUUAUAC